UCAUCAUCAAUGCAGGCACCUCACGUACAACUUGGUAUUGUGAUUGUUGAUUGUACUCCACAUUGCAUAACCUAAGCGGCUCACAAUUACAGCUUGCACUACAUUGAAUUGAUGCAUUGCUUUGGCCAUGCUGAAUCAGACCAGACCCUUGUGAUCUGAUGACAUGCGCAGAUAUGCCUCGUCUAUUUCGUGCGAUUCUGAAACCAAAACAAUCACGCACACGUCCACGGUGAACCACACUGUCAACCGGAGCUCUCUUCAGCAACUUCACAUCGAUUUGGAAAAUGCGUCCAAUGAGGCAGCACUGGGAAACCUCAUUACGCAAAUGUGCAGCUUACUGCAACUUGCCAACUCCAAGAUUCAUUGACAGUAUUAAACCAAGAAUCCUGUCUUUCUUCGUGCUGACAUUUCAAGAGGAAGGGAGAUGAACAAACGAAUAGAGAGGAACGUCUAAAAAUGAAGCAAGUAAUACUUUGGUCAAGAUUUGAAUAUUUGGAAAUUAAAAGUCUUCCAAAGAUCGUCCAAGCUAGAUUCUUUUCUCCAUUUUUUAAUAAAUCUUUAGAGGGAAACUCUGUUAUUGUUCAUUAAAUAGAACUGGAUUUAUAUAAUAUCAGUAUUAUUCUAUUUUUUUUUAAAUUACAGUAUUUUCUUUACUAUAAAGCACACCUGACUAAAAGUUCCACCAUCCAAUUAAACAAUGAAACUGCAUAUUAUAUCCAGUUAUCCCUCAUUUGUCAUGGUUAAUGGGGACGAUAACCCGCCGCGAUAAGUGAAAAACCGCGAAGUAGCGGCCACCCCCCCCAAAAAUUUAUUUUAUGUAUUUAUUCAGAUUUAGCAUUGAAAACAGAUACAUAUACGACAUAUAUUUUCGCUUUUAUGUGUGUGUGUGUGUGUGUGUAUAUAUAUAUAUAUAUAUGU
Molecule: long non-coding RNA, 918 nt
Organism: Corythoichthys intestinalis (scribbled pipefish)
Lineage: Eukaryota; Metazoa; Chordata; Actinopteri; Syngnathiformes; Syngnathidae
Exons: 4
Source: RefSeq, a predicted model, not a curated record